AGUGGAUCUGUUUGUCAUGUCAGCAGAUUAGUGCCUACAAAAGACCAGCAGCCCUGGCAGACAUUUAGCAUCUCCCAAGACCUUGGAGCUGAGUUGUGCCAAUGCUCAUUUGUCCUCUUUUUCCCACAUUGGAAAAGCUGUCUCAAGCCCCAUUCUGCUGCAAUCCUGCUGGCCUGGGAGCUAGAAAGGCAGUGAGCAAGCCCUGCUCCUGCUGAGCUGGGUGUUGCUGGAGGCUGUUUUACUGCAGAAUAAACUGGUUCUGUGUGUACCAGUGAUACCUGGGCCAUAACAAAUUGCAGAAACCGUCAGAAAUUCAGCAAAUCCCUCUAAUGCCAGCUUGGAAGCCUUGAAACAUCUUUCACUGUCUGAUAACCAGACACAAAACCAGCCUUGUUUUCCUUUUUUGCAGUCUUAAGGUGGCUGGUUGUAGCAAGACAGCCGGUCACCAAGACAACGACACCUUACCCAGGGAGAAGCAGGACAGGCCUGCCUGCCAGCUGGGGCUGCUCCUGCUCUCAAACAGUUUCAUAUCCUGAAAUCAGAUUGUUAAAAGUGUCUUUUAAGCUCCUAUGGAUACUGUGAAUUGCUGCAUUAGCAUGAGAUCUGCAGAACAUGUCUUGGGAGCUUUGGGAGAAGUAAACCCCGAGAAAAGACUUCAUAGCUGCAUGUUUACGAUGGCUGUACAGAGUGAAAGUGACAUAUGAAGAAACAUAUAGCCUUUGUUCUCCAAUGAGAAAAUUGGAUCAAGACAAAAAUGACCUAUAUAAACAUUGGAAGAUCAUAGAAAAGUAUUCCUUCUAGGCAGAGAAGGAAUAUAUACAUGGAAGUAAGUGAUGGGUAUUGUUCUUAGGGGAAUUUCAAUGCAUCAAAGGAGCCUGGUAUCAGCCCUGGGAUAACAUCAGAGGAAAUGUUGUCUGAGGAGAAGCAGAAGGGCUGAAAGAAGUUUAUCUGGGCAGAGGAAGUUACAAUGGACUCUCCAGUUUUAAAUACUGAGGUGGUUUCUGGCUUUUCCAGGUAUUGCACACUGGGGUCAAGAAAGAACAACUUCUCCCAGCUCAGAGGCUUGUGAGUAAUGGAGAGGUGGACAAGUAGAGUUUGUGGUGGGUCCAGGAAACAACAAUAACUUAUUGGAUCAGUUUAUAUAAUAAAUAUUAUCAUUUAUGGGCUCA
Molecule: long non-coding RNA, 1169 nt
Filed under: Cyanistes caeruleus (blue tit)
Lineage: Eukaryota; Metazoa; Chordata; Aves; Passeriformes; Paridae
Description: lncRNA (ENSCCEG00000020507.1)
Source: RNAcentral